This 73-nucleotide transfer RNA is filed under the name Verrucomicrobia bacterium SCGC AG-212-E04. It matches the Rfam family "tRNA". Rfam says of the family: Transfer RNA (tRNA) molecules are approximately 80 nucleotides in length. Their secondary structure includes four short double-helical elements and three loops (D, anti-codon, and T loops). The record is from Rfam by way of RNAcentral. Lineage: Bacteria; Pseudomonadati; Verrucomicrobiota.
GGGUUGUUAGCUCAAUUGGUAGAGCAAGUGACUCUUAAUCACUAGGUUCUGGGUUCGAGUCCCAGACAACCCA